RNAcentral lists this long non-coding RNA (33867 nucleotides) under Ananas comosus (pineapple). Its description in RNAcentral is "long non-coding RNA (ACOM_LNC022545)". Lineage: Eukaryota; Viridiplantae; Streptophyta; Magnoliopsida; Poales; Bromeliaceae. The record is from RNAcentral.
UAAAAGUGUUUUACACUUGUAAUGCCCCAAUAGUUCCACAUCGGGUGAAAAAAUGAGUCUGAUCAGAAUAUAUGAGGCUUACACGCUAAUAAUAAUAUCUGGACUUAAACAUUUUUGGGUCGGUGGUUUGACUCAAAGAGUUAUUCUUGUUAGCGGAUCGAGUCGUUACAAUUGGUAUUAGAGACGAAGUGUGAGAGCUAAAUACUAUGCGGGACAAAGUGCUACACCGAUGGAUUCGAUGGGAGCCACCUCUUGAACCGGUGUGAAUCUCACAUCAGGCUCUAGAAUCUCACAUUGCCUGAUAAUUCUGGUCUAUCUGGUUUGGCCCCAAUAAUUUCCUAACGAGUUAUUGUUGCUAGUGGGUACUACAAGACCAAAAUAUUGCUAUUAAUUCUUUUCUUUUCUUUUUUUCAAAAUACUCAUAUUCCAAGGGAAAGUAAUUUAGGGAUACAGGGAUAAAUUUGAAAAUUUUGUACCUGCGAAACAAAAGUUGAUGGUCCCAUUUCACAAUAUUCUAAAGCUGAGGGGUCUCCGCGCACUUUUACCACCCUCAUCCAAUCCUAAUACGAAUUAGAUCACGACUAAUAAUAAUAAUAAUUACUAAAAUAAUUAAAUUUAUUAGUCUUUUCGCACGAUUUCGCUAGGGCACGCUUUUUCUCGUCGGAAAAAAGAAAAAAGAAAAAACAAAGGGGAGAAAAAGAAAAAGAAAAAGAAAAAGAAAAAGAAGAGAGGUUUCCUCUUUUCUUUUCUUUUUUUUAAAUUUUUUGUGCGCGUGUGUGAAUUUUAGGGUUCGUAAUUUUUGGGUUAAUGGCUUCUGGGAGAAGCAGCAACAAUCCGAAGCGGCCGCAGUUCUUCAAAGUGCUUCUUCCUGGAUCUUUCGACAAGUUGGUGCGUUUCCUCUCUCUCUCUCUCUCUCUUUUUUUUCUAUUAUAAUAUUUCUUUUUCUUUUUUUUUUAUUGUUUUAAUCUUUGGAUCUUGUGCACUUUACUCUGUGGGAGAGAUCUUUAGAUUUUUGUUGUAUUUUUUUUUUUAUUCAAUGUGUGUGUGAGAGAGAAAGAGAUUAUCUAGACAAAUAAUAUUUUUAGGUAAAAGUGUAGUGAGAGCCCCUCAAGUUUAGGCGUUCCUGAAACAAGUCCCUCAACUUUUUUUAUUUUUUUAAAAAAUUUGUUUGGUUGAAUUAGACUUCUGAUUCUCCAACUGUGUGGCCGGGCACACUUUGUUCUGCAAAUUUUAAUUUAUUGUAAUUAUUUUCUCAAAUUUUUUGAUGUGUUGUUUGAUGUGACAUCUUAGUUAUUGUGAGCUCUGACUUUGAACUGCAGGACUUGUAAUAAUCGACAAUAAGUUUUAACCAAAGUUUGAGGACCAAAAGUGCAAUUUACUUACCUGUUGUUUGAAUUGAUAUCCCUUUUAACUUUCUAAUUUUUUUUAGCUAUUGUGUCUAAGAUAACAAUAUUUUCUUAAAUUUAGUAGCUUUGUUAGCUAUUAUUUGUUAAUUGUUUGAGUCUUAUUUGUUGCAAAGUGAUUAAAACCAUCGAAUUUAAGGACACCAUCAAUGAAUUUGAUAAAAUUUCUAAUUUAAUUGAUCGAAAUCGCUUAAAUCUACGAAAUCUAAAAUUAAGAUGAUGUUGAUCCCGAGAGGAUGUUGUAGAUUGUGACCCUACUCACAUACAGUUUAAUUCGUAUCUAAAGUCUAAUUCGAAUCAGAAUAACGGCCUCAAUCCACUUAAGUAAUACAGAUGAAACUACAGAGCACUGAUGUAACAAACACGACCCUCUCUGAAGUUUACAGACGAAAUCACAGACCACGUAAGUGAUACAGACGAAAUCACAGACCACCGAUGCGAUAACACAUGACUCUUUUUGAAGUUUACAGACAAAAUUUGUCGCGGUUUCUUGUGAAGGAAAAUGCGUACAACGUCAUGUAGCGCAAUUUGCUUAUUCUGUUCUUUCUCAUAUUCUGACCAUGUUGGUUCUUAAUUUAUGUCUCAGAUGACAGUAAUAAGUAAACAGUUGCUUAUGAUGUUCUUUUGCAUGUAGUGGAUUCCUCGAUCAUUCGCGGAUCAUUACAUAAAUGAGGAUUGUCGGAAGGCCACGUUGUAUAGCCCUCUUGGCAAGUUUUGGCACGUCAACCUCGAGCGCAGCAACGAAUCAAAUGAUGUUUUCUUUGGCGGCGGUUGGCGGGAAUUUGUCAGAGCCCACGACAUAAGAGUGGGCUACUUGGUCGUGUUUCGCCACGAAGGAAACAUGAUCUUCACUACCAAAGUUUUUGAUUUGAGUGGAUGCCUCAAAGCGUACGAUGAGACUACUUUGAAUCAUGCGGGCCAAGUACUAACAGAUAUCGAUGAUGGCAACAUUAACGUCACCACAAAUAGUAAGUCUAUGUCUUUUCCUUUUUAUUUAAUCUGUCGAACACUUAUUUCGGGCCAAUAACAAAGUCGUGUGUUAAUCUCUUCUCGCCAUGCAAUAAUAUCAGAUCAUUCAGAAAGGGCACGGAGAUACAACUUCAAAAAAAGAGGAUCUUAUAAGCCAAUUUCACCGACUCCAAACCAACUAUUUCCUCACUACAAGAACAAGCUAAGGAACCAUUCUCACCUCACAAAUUCAUCACCUCAAUUUGAGAAGACGGUGCGACCGUAUAAUCUUGUUCGCAAAUGCAUGGUAAGGGUUUCAGAUUCUCACUCAAAAACCUUUUAAAACAAGAAUGGUUUAUGCUUAUGAAGACAACUUGCUCUGUAUUGUAUUGUGCUGAUCUGCAGAAUGUACCAGAAACAUUUUGUAUGUUGAGCGGACUCCAGGAUAAGACCGUGAUCAAGCUCCGAGAUUCGAGGCACAGAUCGUGGCCUGUGAGCUUUCAUCGUUAUCCUCAAUUUGCGCAGCUUAGGAAGGGGUGGGAAGAGUUCUGCGAGGGAAAUAACUUGAAGGAAGGUGACAAGUGCUUCUUUCGACUUGUAUCAAAAAAGGAAAUGCAUGUUAGAAUAGUGAGAAAUUGAGCAAGGAUAAGUUUUAGUUACCCUUUUUGGUGUGUAUAGAGUUACUCUCUUUAGCUGCUUCCUCUCUCUAAUCAUAGUUCGGAUGCGGUGGGAUGUAGAACUCUAAUUUUGUUCGUGUUCGAUCUCAUAAAGUUUUAGUUACGGCUUUUGUGUGUAUAUGAAAUUACUACUCAUAUUACGACACUUCUUCCUCUCUAUAAUCAUGGUUUACUGUAUGCUAGGGAUGAUAGAACUUAAUUUUUCUCUUCGAUAUCUGUUGUCUUUUGUUAGUAGAAAGGACUCUUAAGCGGAGUUUUGUCAACUUCAAUUCUUCUUGCAAGUUUGCUUAAUCUUUUUUUAACACUUUUCUUCUUUUAUAAAUUUGGCUUGGCCAUAUAAAUAUAACCUCCAGAAUGAUGUGGAAUAGUGAGAAGUUAAACACUGGCCUCUGGUUUUAUAGAAUGCCUUGUUGGUAGGGUGCAUUGGUGUUCUUUUUCAAUCAUAAUUCAUAUAUAUGUUUAAGGGUUUUAGUCCCAAAUUUGAGUUACUUAUUGUGUUUUUUCAGCACUUCAUCAAUGUGAUGGCUCUUAAGUUAUGCAUGUUGUUAGCAAACAAAAGAUUACUUUGCAAAUUUUCUUUCAUCUUAUUUCCUUUUCUCUUUCCAUGAUUGUUGCAUUCCUUGGAAAAGGAACUCCAAAUGAAGAUCAUUUGAAUCAAUGGGGCUGUUUGGUUCCAUGUAAUUGUAACUACAUUGUAGUGUGUUUGUGUGCAAAAUCCAAAUAGAGUGUUUGACUUGAUGUAAUUUGAAUUCAAUUGCUACAGUUGAAACUGUAUAAGGAGGCUUAAUUGCAGUAGUUAAAAUUAUAUCCAAAUAGGUUGCAGUUCGAACUGCUGUAGUUGAGGAGAGUUUGUUUAAUCAAAAAAUAAGCUUGUUUUCCUAAUCACCUUCUAAAUGGAAGAAUAUGUAAAUAUAAUUCUAGUACUAAUCAUGCAUGAUCAUGGUUAUAACAGAGUUUGUAAGGCUUUUGCUAAUGUCACAGCAUUUUCCAGUUGCCGCAUUGCUUUUCUCAUCUUCAUUGUACUAAUUUUCUCCAAAAAAUUUGAGAAAUGUUUAUUAAACUUAAAUUUAAAUCCCCAAAAAUGUAGAUAAAACAAAUGCAUAAUAAGUAAAAAAUUUAAAAAAGAAAUUGAGUUUGGUUCUCCAUUAUAAUUAAUUAAAAUUAAGCAAUUGAUUAUGUUUUUACUAAUCAUUGCUUUUUACAUCACAUGUAUUUUCUUGUACUUGAAUUUUCUACUGAAAAUUUAACUUACAUGAUUUACAAAUUCUAACACCACAUGAAAAAAAGAAAGCAUACAAAACAGGCAAUUAGUUCAAACUAAAUAUCCCACUAACCAAAAAUGUGGCACAAUUAUGAAAGUUAAAAAAACUUUAAAACUUCAUCUUCGCCCUAUUUUAAUCUUGAAAUAUGAUUACAAAUAUGUGGAACAACAAAAAAAAGGCGCAAAAAAAACAGGUUUUGAAACAUACUGGCACCAAUCUUGCACCACUGUGAUGAGAGUUGCAGGUUAGAUGUGAAAAUACAUCAGGGAACAUACCAUGCCCAACUAUUUAUUUAUUUAUUUACUUUUGCCGCAUCGAAAGAACCGAAGAGAAAACAAAAUGUAACUAAAAGGUCAUGUAGUUUAUUGAUCCUNNNNNNNNNNNNNNNNNNNNNNNNNNNNNNNNNNNNNNNNNNNNNNNNNNNNNNNNNNNNNNNNNNNNNNNNNNNNNNNNNNNNNNNNNNNNNNNNNNNNAGGAGUAGAAGAGAUUGAAAUACAAAUCGUGUAGUAAAAUUUGGGUUGAUGGUCCUUGUUUGAUCUACUCUGUCUCUCAGGAAGCACGAGUGCCGUCCGUGCUCUGAGGUAUGUGAUUGUCCGUUUCGAUAUGAUGUUUUUUGAAGUCGACGAUCGUGGCCUGCCGUUAAAUCUUGAUCUACGAUUAAAGCUUCUAAAAAAUAAUUUGUUGCGAUUCUUUCGAUAUCAUUUAUCUAUGCAAUCGAAAGGAUUCAAAAUCCAUAAUUUUUAAUGCAGGCUGAUAAAUAAAAUCACUAUAAAAAAGUGUGUGAUAUAGCAAAAAUUUUCGAUCAAGAAAUAUUAAGAUCUUGUUGUAAUAAUAGAAAUAAAGAAUUUUCUAUCAAAUAAUUCAUAGCGUGAUUUGAGAAUACUUCUACACCGUUAAACUUGAAAUACGGGCAUAUAUCAGCAUUAAAAAUUAUUGGACUUUUGAAUCUUAUCCAUUGCUAGAUAAAUUAUAAUCGAAAACUCGAAGCAAAAUUAUUUUCUAGAAGCUUCAAAUUCGCUAAUCCAGUCUAACGAAAGCCGACGUCGAUUUCGAAAAUUCCAUCAUCGAAAACGCUCAAGGAGCACGGAGGCCCUCUGUGCUCCUGAGAGCACAGUACCCUGGCUAUAAUAUAUAUAUAUAUAUAUAUAUAUAUAUAUAUAUAUAUAUAUAUAUACGAGUGAGCUACUAUGGCAUCCGAAGCAUGGGACCGUUCCCCGGCUUCCAGCUCAGUUCGAUGUGGGACUUCGAUCUGUCGUAUCGGAUCUGUUAAAUCUUGAUCUAGAGUAUGUUAAUACCUAGAAAAUAAAUUUUAUUCAUUUUUGAUAAGUCAUUCUGCCUUAGUGAUCGAAUGGGCUAAAAUCCAAAUUUCAACAAUGGCCGAGUGAGCCGUUUGCAAGUUUAAGGUGUAGAAAUAUUCAAAAUACGUAAAAUUUAAUAAAGAAAAUCCUUUUAACUACAUAAACAGAUCAAUUAUCUUUGAUUUAAAUUUUAGAUAUCAUAAUUUGAUUUUACAUUUGUAAGAUUUAUUUCAGCCGUGAUUUUGAGCCCCUUCGUUCACUAGGCCAUAUGAUAUCCUGGUAAAAGUCAUAAAAUUUAUUUUCUAACUACUUCAAUACUCUAGAUCAAGUUUAACGGAGCCGAUUCGACGAUUUCGAAAGUCGCAACAUCGAAAACUGAGCUGGAUAGCACCGAAGGCUCGUGCUUCGAUAGCAUGUACCCCACUCUAUAUAUAUAUAUAUUAUAUAAUAUAUAUAUAGUGUUAGACUGACUUACUAUUAGUAGCCAAAAUCCUAAUUGUUGCUAUAAAUUUUUUACCUUUGAUCAACCUUUUCUUAUUUCUUAACCAAUUGAUUAAAUACUAUAACCAGUGGGGACCCUCACAAACACUCACUCUAACCGACUAAUAUCAUUUUGACCGCUAUCAAUUUUUCAUCCAACGGUUAAAAAUUUGAAUUAGCAAAAAGAUGCGUUUACUAUUAAUAGUAUUCCAGCCUAAUAUCAUAUAUAGCUAUAUAUAUAUAUAUAAUAUAACUAUAUAUUAUAUAUAAGCCAUUUAACUGCACGAACAAAUUGAAAAUAUAUAAAUUUGAGGCCUGAUUUAAAAUUAGAAGAAAUAUUGAUAAAUAAAUUCAUACUUCCAUAACAUUUAAAAAUAAAAUUUAAAUUUAAUUUAUUAAAUCCGACAGGUGUACCUUCUCAAAACGCGAGUCAUUGCGGAGGAGACGACCUCAUCUCCUCCCUUUCUCGGCGGCGCUCGUCCCACCCCGUCGCCGAACCGACUAGAUCCGUCCAACCCCCCCCCCCGCCCCCCCCUUCUCCACCACACCCUCCCAUCUAGCGCGCAUGCCUCGCCGAACUACGUGCGCCUCUGCCUACGGUUUCCGCCUCUGGCAUCCAUAGGCGAGUUGACGACCUUGAUGUAGGGAGCAUCGCUAGGGUUCAGCGCGGGAUUCGGCGCGGACGAGGAGAAGGAACGAGGAGGGAGGAGCUGAGUUGCGGACGCUGCUCCGGAGCAUCGCCUGGGUUCUCGAUGAUGAUGAUGAUGAUGAUGAUGAUGCGAAUUUGUGGCGGGAAUCGGGUGAGGGAAGCCCUAGACUCAUCUCUGAUGACAAUUUUAGCCUUGAGGAAGAAUUAGGGCUCGAUUUGGAUUCCGUCUCCGAUUUCAUGGAGGAGGAGGGGGGAAUUGAUGGCGAUGGCGUUGAGGAAUCGGCGCCGGAGUUGGAGUCGAUGCAAAAUGGCGGAUCGGGAGAGGAGGAUUCGAUGGAAAGAAGAAGAGGAAGAGAGAAUCGUGAGAUCGAGUUUCGCGACACCCUGCUCCGGAACGUACUGUGGGUUCUCGAUGAUGAUAAUGAUGAGGAUUCAUGGUCAGAAUCGGGUGAGGUAAACCCUAGACUCGUAUCCGAUGAUAAUCUCUGUUUCCGCGAGGAAGAGUUAGGGUUACACUUGAAUUCCGAUUCCGAUUUCCUGUCGGAGAACGAGGAGGGGGAGGGCGACGGCGGCGAGGUGGAGGAAUCGGUGUCGGAGUUGGAAUCGAUGCAAGAAGCCGAACCGCGUGAGGAUAGCUGUAGGUGUGAGGACCAUUUCCUUUGCGAGUGCCCGCGGAGACGGAUCAUAGGGUUCGAAACUGAUUCUUAUUCUUGUUCGGAUAUUGGGCAUGUAUUAUCAGAUGAAGCAACAGAUGUAGAGCUGGAGGACGAGGAAUCGGUCGCAGGGAUGGAAUCAAUACAAGAAGAUGAAUCAGCAGAGGAUAGUUGUAUAUAUGAAGACCAUUUCCUUUGCGAGUGCCCGCGGAGACAUAUUGUAGGGUUCGAAACAGAUUCCUUUUCUGUUUCCGAGAGUGUCGUAUCAGAUGAAGAGGCCGACUCGGAGCUGGUUUGCAUUGGCACGGAAGAAUCAGUCUCGGAGUCGCAAUCUCUGGCAGAUGAAGCAGCGGACUGGGAGCAGGAGGACGUCGAUGGCUCAAUGGUUGGGUCUGAUGCAGAGGAGUCGGUCUCGGAGUUUGAGUGGAUGCAAAGAGGAGACUUGGCCGGCGAAAAUUGUACUUAUGAGGACCAUUUCCUAUGCGAGUGCCCGAUGAGACAGAUCAUCGGGUUUGACUCAGAUUCAAAUUGCGAAUCAGAGGUUGAGCCUACCAUGUCAGAUGAGGAGGAGGAUUCGGAGCAGGCCGAGAUCGAUGCCCGUUUAGACGAGUGGGGGGAUGUGAUCAGUACGAUUUUCAACACUGACAUGGAGGAAUCGGAGUUGGGUUCAGAAUCACCACAGAGAGAAGAACCAGCCAAUGUAGAUCUUCCGGAUCAAAAUAUCGUACGGCUUUUUGAUGAUUCGGCCUCAGAGUUGGAGUCGACGCGAGGAGAAGAAGACCUAGACAGUGCUUAUUUAUCACUGCUUGCUCUUGAGCUUCGGAGACUCACAUUCGCUCUUCGGAGUGAUGAUGACGUACCUAUAAGUGGAAGCCGACGGGCGGCUUGUAAGUUGGUAGUUGAGCGCCUCCCUUCGGUCCUUCUCGUGGCUGAGGAUCGUGGGGAGGCGGACGACGACAUGCUUUGCGUGGUCUGCGACGACGAGAUUUCUUUAGGCGAAUGGGCGACGCUGCUGCCGUGUUCUCAUUAUUACCACGGGGAGUGCAUCUUGCCGUGGCUUAAGAUUCGGAACACAUGCCCGAUGUGUCGCUAUGAGCUGCCCACAGAUGCUGAUUAUGCUAAUGACUAUUUUGACUUGUUUUCCAGCGUUUAAUUGUCCGUGACAGCCAGAGGUGAUUAUCUCAUGCCCUCACUCUGAGAGUCAUCAGAGGGAAGAAAGGUUCACUUGCCGGAAAAAAAUGGCGAUAAAGGUUUGCAAUGUAGUUAUUUGGGAAUUGGAUUCUAAAGAUACUUAAAUGCUUUUGUUCAUACAUACUCCAUAAAUGCAUGCAUUCGUACAUCUUUUCUCGAUUCAGAAUGAUUAGCAUGUAUAUUACUGUAAAAAAUUAUAUGUUCUGUUACUGUGAAGCUAUGUGUUCUGUUAUUGGAAAGUUAUAUAUGUUCUCUUAUAUCAAUAUGAAAACCUCACCUUGUAGAUAUGAUAUAUAGGCUAGAGCUACUAUACUCUUAUGAGUAUAGAGCCCUUCGUAUUUAUAAGUUGUUUUUGAUGAUGGGGCUUCCGAAUCGACGAUCCACUCUGUUAAAUAUGAUCUAGAGUAUUUGAAACUUCUAGAAAAUAAAUUUCGUAAUUUUUCUUAAUCAUAAUAAAGUUCAUCAAGCGGGUAUAAAAUGAACGGUCGAAAUCGAAUGACGUCUUAAAAAUGGAUGAUCGGAUCCUUCAAUUUAAGAUCGGAGUUAUUGAUCUUCAUCUAUGUAGUGAAUAGAAUUUUCUAUCAAAAAUUCAGCCGAUUUCGAUUCUUUUACACUGUUAAACUAGCAAAUAUACUAUACCGGCCGUUAAAAAUUGUCAAUUUUGUGACCUUUUGAUCAUAAGGUAAAUGAUAUCGAAAAAUUAUAAAAUUUGAUUUCUAGAUGUUUUAAAUGCUCUAGAUAAUGUUUAACGGUGUGGAUCGUCGAUUCGGAAGCUCUAUCAUCGUAAACAACUUAUGAGUGUACAAGGGCGAUCGUACUCAUAAGAGUAUAGUAGCCGGACUCAUGAUAUAUAUAUAUAUAUAUAUUUUUGAUGGUUCUCUUUCCUAAUAUUUGUAGGAGAACAUGCAUUUGCAAUGCCCAGGUUGUACAAUGUUAAAUAGGGAAUACAUGUUUGAGAUUGUAUAUUUGCUACAAGAGUAAUCUCUUCAGAUAUUGAACGCCUUUUCAGAUUAUCAUCUUCGUCGUGUUAUUAAGAAAAUCAAUCACAUGUUGAUUCAAGUGUUUUUGGUCUACUCUUGUAGAAAAAUGCCGAAACUUCGAACCAGAUACGGCUAGUGUUUCUUGGAAAAACUUGAUUAUUAUCGCGCUACAUGUUUUUUGCCUGCAUAUAGAUUCUGGUUGAUGUUUGUAGCUUUCUAUCGAACUUUUUGCUCCCUGCGAUUUGAGUUCUUUAGUGGAUGUUUUCUAAUAACUCUCAUGUUUCAUUCUUGUCUCUGAAGAUCUCUAUUAACCAAGCUAAUGUUUAUCAUCAUCUACUGAGAUCGAGAAAAAGCCAUUAGAUGCUCUGCCUAGCAUUUCAAACAAUUGAAGCUAAAUGAGAUGGUGAUGGGCAACCAUUGUGUAUACUAUUUGCAUCCAUUAUGAAUGCAUGAACACAUUAUGUGGAGAUGGAUCCUAACAUAAUUGUGGUAGCACUAAGCUCUGUUUUUUUUUCUUGGGGUACCUUCAUUUACUCAUUCUUUAACUCAUUUGCCGGACAUUUUUAGAGUAAUUACUUGCCCUGAACUUCCACUCAAAAUUUUAAAUUUGAUAUUUGAGACCCUGAACUUUCAACAAUGUUUUAAUUUAGGAAUAUAUAUAUUAUUGUAGCUCUUACCUUAGAGUAAAUAUUAUUUUGCUUGGACCUAGUUCUUCAUAUGUUCAUGCACCGUAAAUUCCACCAUCUUCAUCCAGUUGAUGAUACCUUCAAAGCAAGGAUCCAAUUUCUAAAUAAUGAAAAGAUUGUUGCUCAAUUGACAGUAAGGUCCCUAACUUUCUAAUUGUUGUAAUUAGGUUCUUGACCUUUUACUCGAGUUUUAACUUCGUCCGUAUCCUCAUAAUUGUUGCAAUUUGUGUUGGAUUAAAUGGGCUAGUAUAGUGGAGGCCGGAUUGGAUAAAGUCAUGCGAAGUUUGCGAGCACUGUGUAUUUAUUUAUAAACUUUAAGCGUGAUGGGUGCGUCCUUUUGUUUUCAAUUCGAGCUUUUGGAAUUGUUGGUUUAAUUUUACGUGUGAUGAAUGCUUUUUCUUUUUCUUUUUUUUUCUUUUUAUUUCCUUCAGUUGCAGCUUUUGAAAUUGUUGGUAGUGUUUAAGAUCCACACCCUAGCUUCAAUUGACUUUGUAGCCUUUACAAAAUUAACAGUAGAGGAACUGUCCCCCAAAAUUAUAAUUUGCUAAAUAAUUCUGUCAAAAUUUUAAUUUGCAAGCUGGCUCUAUUUUGUCCAACUCAGCACCAUGAUAGAAAGAAAAGUGAAAGGCCUCCUCUAACUUUCAUUCGGAUCACCACUAUCAUUUUUAGGAUUUUUAUGCGCGAUGUUAGGAAAGAUAAAUGUUCAGAUAUAAAAUAUUUUAUAGUGAAAAAUUUUCAGAUUACCACUAUCAUUUUUAGGACACAUAGCAACAGUAGUUUCAAGCAACACAUGAAGCACAAAUCCUAUAUCUUUCUAACAUCUCGCUUCACUAUAGAUUGCAACAACACACAUCACUCAGUAAGAAGCUCCAAACCCUAAAGUCAGCUAUUAGACCUCCUCAGCUCUUGUUAUUAUUGUUGCUGCUCUUUCCCUUCACCUCGAAACCCAGAUAUUCUGUCGAAACUGCGACUAUUCAGUUUCCUAUUGAGCAGCAAAAGUGCCGCCUUCUGUCCUUUUAUCGGACUGAUUCCCAGCGCGGGAGAGUAGCUCGUCGGGGUAGCAUAAGCAGUUUCAAAUGGAGUGCCUGAGACAGGCUUUACCGAGUGCGACGAAGUAGUGAUAACUUUAUUGUUGUGAACAAUUGAGGGAGAACUGAUCCGCAUGCCUCUACUCAAGCCGUCUACGUAAAAAAGCAGAUCAGAUCGUCGAUGCAUGCGAGCUACAAUGUUAGAGGCAAGGCUUUCCAGCACUCGUGAAUAGCUUUCUAGGACGGACUUUUUCCGACAUCCAUCCUGCAAAUUUAAGCCAAACAGAAAAGAACUUUCGAGUCAGCUCAUAUCAAUUUAGUCUUGAAGCAAAGCAGGAGGCCCUCGGCUCUCUCGGCAAGCAACUCUGUUUUCUCUGCAUCUAUGAUCAUAUCUUUCACCAUGGCCCAACAUGAUUUAGCUCUACUCAGGCUUCUGUGUUGUUGUUCAUUGGCUUGUUAGUUGUUGUUCUCCGACGCCAAAUAUAAAUCGAUGCCUCCGCACGAUUGGCAAUUUCUAAAGCGUGGUGUUCGGAGGACAAAUCGAGGCGAUCGAGAAGGCAUUCCGGAAAGAAUUGAUCGCAAGUGAUGUAACGGUCGGUAUAUCAGGUCACCGAGGCUCGCUCUGCCAUUCUGGUAUCAAGGAACAAAACACAACUUUAGUCAGACUGUAACAUAAAAUAAAAGCUACUAAAAGAUUCCAAAAUGGCGGAUACGAUGUGAAAGAUAACAUAAUUGCUAUAGAGAAAAGAGAAUCAAAUCAACAUUAUCAAACAAGUAGUCCUCAACCUAACCAACAAGUCUUUUUCGCACACGCUUGAAGAUUCAUCUACUUUUAUAUAUAUAUAUAUAUAUAUAUAUAUAUAUAUAUAGGCCAUGGCUACUAUACUAUUAUGAGUAUUGGAGCCCUCGUACUCAUAAGUUGUUUUCAAUGAUGGAGCUUCCGAAUCGACGAUCCACUCCGUUAAAUAUAAUCUAGAGUAUUUGGAACUUCUAGAAAAUAAAUUUCAUAAAUUUUCGAAAUCAUAAUAAAGUCCAUCAAGUGGGCAUAAAAUGAACGGUCAAAAUUGAACGACGUUCUAAAAAAGAAUGAUCGGAUCCUUCAAUUCAAGAUCGGAGUUAUUGAUCUUUAUCUAUAUAGUGAAUAGAAUUUUCUAUAAAAAAUUCAACAAAUUUCGAUUCUUUUAUACCGUUAAACUAGCAAGUAUCCCAUACCGGCCGUUAAAAAUUGUCAAAUUUGUGACGUCUUGAUAGUAAGGUAAAUGAUGUCGCAUAAGGUAAAUGAUGUCGCAAAUUAUAAAAUUUGAUUUCUAGAAGUUUUAAAUACUGUAAAUAACGUUUAACGGUGUGGAUCGUCGAUUCGGAAGCUCUAUCAUCAAAAACAACUUAUGAGUACGAGGGCGAUCGUACUCAUAAUAGUAUAGUAGCCGGACCCUAUAUAUAUAUAUAUAUUAUAAAAAGUAUCAUUAUUUGUUACUUGCAGUCGGGGUAUCAUCCAAUUCGUAUGGAAAGUUUUUGGUGAGUUCAAGGUUGUAUGAAUGGUGGAAAUUCAAGUUUUUGAGUAAAAAAUAUGCAAGGAGAUAACUCUGCAGAGGGCAAACAUCUAAAUAUCUCAAGGCAAACCUUUGGUGGUAAGGACUCAAUAUACGACUCGGGAACAUCAAUUUCCACCAAAGCAUUGCUCUAUUUAUAGCCAUGGCGGCCUUCAAAAUCUGGUUCGUGCACUCGCGUUUGUGCUGCAAUUGCUUUUUUGUACCCUCACUAAGACCCCCAGGAGGCACCCGGGGUACCGGCAACCACCACUUCUCAUCGCGGCGAUGAAAAGCUCUUCGAAAGGAGGCCGAACCAUCGCAAUCCGGUGCAGAAAUUCCUUGAUCAACGUACCAGAAUUCUGGUUCAUUGAAAAAUUCUGGUUCAUUGAAACUAUCCGGUACAUCCUGUAAUGAAAGAAACUAAUCUGAAUGACCCUACAAAGGUUUAUAUUUGCUACAUUAGGGGUGUUACUAUGCUGCAGUUCUUACGAGGAGCAUGUUGUCUAACUUCCGAAGCGCUGGCAGGUUUGCAUAUAAAUCUCGGAUCGCGGUCUGCAUGUCAUGACCUGAAAUCGAUUUCAGCAAGAAGUUUAAUCACUAUCAUGUAGCAAAGGUUUGUAUCCUUAAUACAAAUUAUGACUUCUUUUUUUUUAUAAAGGAAACAGAUUACAGGCUAAAUCAAUCGCGGGAAACUUCUUUAUAAAUUAAAAGAAUUCAACUAACAAAAAGAACUUUUAAUAGUAAAUUUGACAGAACGCAGCAUAGUUGGUUAGAUAAUUAUAACAAAAUUACCUCAAGCUUGCUUCCAUCAGGAAAUGUUUACGUUUGCCAUGUGGGAAAAAAUUCGACUAUGUGAUCACUAACACAAAUAAGCCACUCCAUUUCUCUUUGCCACAUUGACUUCUUUUCGGGAGGAAGAGGCUCCAACCUCCACAAUUGCCCAAAUAUUGUUGCUGAUGGGGACAGUAAAAUGAACAAGAAAAAUUUAUAAGAUCUCACAGAGAUAAUUUUUCGAAUAUAUAUAUGAUUUUAUGAAGAAACAACCUUAGGAUAUUAAAAAAAUUACCACAGAGAUUAGUAAUAGCAUUUGAAAUGGCCAAUGCUGUACACACCCCCUUGCCGCAGCCCGACAUGUCCUCUCCAAGUAGCAAUUUGGAGAACCUCUCCUUCAUCAUCUCAAUUUCUGAUUAAGUACAAAAAUAAGCCUCAAUACAUAACCAAUUUAUAUAUAAAAAAAAAGCAUAUAUCUAGGGGCUUAAUUAGAAGAAGUGUAAAGGCUAACAUGGAAACCUAAAAUUACUCUCUAGGCUCAUAAAACUCUAGCACUUUACAACAAUUUGGUAAUAAACUAAGGAAUUAUUUAUGUGCAAUGCCUAAAAUAUGAGAAUAUGAGAAAUUAUAGAGAUAUCCAAUACCUGAAAGAUUUCGCUUCUGCUUCUCUACUCCUGCAUCAUCCUCAUGGAUUUUCUCAUUCCCAUCCACUGCAUCCAAGCUCGAGCCCUUCUUCUUCAUGGGCCAACCCAACUCCUCCGACGGCUUCGCCGACCCCUCUGAUCGACAAAAGCUCUGCGGGUGGUCUCCACUCGACGAAUUCUCCGAGCUCGAACUGCUCCCGCGACACUCCUCCUCUGUUGAAUCGCUAUAACAAUCUCCUUCCCCAACAAUGGCUUCUCCCAAUCUCUCCAUCCUAAUCCCCUCUGCUUCCCCAAACAGAGGACGCUCCCUGACAACACUAACUCCUCCCCAAAUUUCUCACCAAGAUUGGAUUUUUCACAACAAACCCAUCUGGGUACGGAGCUUCUUCGGGGGAUCUAGAGACCCAGAAGCUCAGAAGCGAAAUGGGUUUGAAGUGGCGGGUUAAUGGGAGACAGAGCUUGUUGGGGUCCCCAAAUUUUAACAACAAAAUAUUUUAACUAUUUAUUAUGUAUUUUUAUCAAAUCUUAUAUACUUUAUUGAAAAAAUUACUUACUAAUUUAAAAAAUAAAUAGUUUUAAAUUAUGCCAUCGGCGCAAGAACUAUAUCGUGCCGAUAUCUUAUUAAUACAAUAUGACAUGGUAAAUACAAUCCAUGCCAAUGAACACUUAAAUUCUUAUUAUAAAUUCUGCAUGAAAUGAAGCGCGACAACAUUCAAACUUUGCAGUACAAGCAUUACCGCUGUAAAAGCUCAGUUAUUAGAAUUAUAAAUUUUACACGAAAUCGAGUGCAAAUUUAAAAUUAUGCGUAGAAUUAGGAAUUAUACAUGAGACCUACUGCAUCCUUAAAACUUGUCAGUCUGAGCUUUAUCCGCCGGUGAUGAACGUACACGGAAAAGAAACUGUAUAUGUUUGUCUGCACGUAAUGGUGUGGAUUUUGAUAAAAGCAUAGAAACAAUUCGUGUUGUUACACGUGCAACCUGAAAAAGACGGGUUCCACUCAAAAAACUGAAAGAGAAGAGUAAAGCUUGCAUGUGCAACCUGUUAGAGGAUGAUACGACGGUCAGAUUGAAUCUGGCAAAUCAGCAGAAACGGGAUCUUUAACAAAGAAAAGUUGCCCAGCACUCUAAUUUGGAAUAGUUUUUUGUUAAGUUACUAUAUACGCAUACUAUCCAGAGGUUGCAAAGUUCUAUGCUCAGUAGCAAUAAUAGCGAGUAGGCUACCAAUUUCUUAGCAAAAGCCUACUACCAUAAAGAAAUUUUGCUUGAUUCAAAACUUGAUGCCCUUGCAUUUCCUAAAAUAGGAGAAUUUUAGGAAACACAACAAAGGGAAGAGAAUUACCAUCGUCUGUCAUGACUGAAGAUUCUACUCCAGAAACUCUUCCAUCAGACCCUAAUAUUUUAAACAAGAGUUCAGUAUUAGGAAGAAACGUAGACAUUGAGAUGAGGCGAACUCUGCAGUAACAAACCUGGGAUAUAAAUUGCUCAGCAUCUGUACGCCUAAGAAAAUGCAGUGAGUGCUUAGUCAGAGAUAUCGAAUGAUCGCCGAGACAAACUUCUCCGAUGUCAUCAAGUACCCUAACACGGAUAUAAGGAUCCUUGGGAGGUACCAUAUCCUACAAAGUCCAUGUUCUUCCUUUAGGUGGUUUAACAUAUAUACCCUAGCAAAAUUAUCUAUUUAAACCUAUACCAUCGUAAAAUCUCAACUUCGAUACUCCUCACAAGCAUAGCUAAUUAUGAAAAUACCGUUAUUGUGAGUUGAAGGGUAAUCUCAUUCAUGAGGGAAGGUUAAUGUUUUAUGAGAACAAGUUUUUUAAGGAGGGCUAGUUUUAUUAAGUAUGAUGGUAUAUACGUAAAAAAUUAAGUUUUUCAAGGCAUAUCUGAAAAUUCAGAUUUUAUAGACAUAUAUGAAUAGAUGAUUUUGCGGGGAAUGCGAAUGUAAAUACCUCAUUCAUUUAUGAUUGAAAAAUAUUUGGUUCUUAGGCAUGAGAACGAUAAGAAGGUUAAAGAUACCACAGUCAAAUCCAGAUCUAGCUCGGACAUGUAGGACUCUAUGGCAGCAGAGUGACUUUUGAAAUACUCUUCCUCAGAAUAAUUGAGUUUUUCUUGAAUUUCUUGGGGAAGAACAGGACCCACUUUCCAUCUGAAGCUCUGAAUGACUUCUGCGCGGUUGUACCUAUUUGGAUGUAAUAGCUUUAGUCAGUAUUAAUUUAACAAAGAUUUAUUAUAUGGAGGUAAAGCUUGGACAUGUAUGAUAACAAUAAAAUUUGGAGAAAAAAAUCAUUCAACCAGGGAAGUACUCUUCAAUCAUGUGCUUACAUGUAAGCCAUGAGACAUCUUUUGUUACGGGUUAAAGAAAGAUGAUGUAUAACUGCACCAAAGUGAUCCUCAUUUCUAGUCGUUUGUAUGUCUAAGUUCUGAUCCUCGAUUUUCCUACCACAGAAUAGAAGAAUUAUGUAGUUAGCAAACCCAAAAUAUGUGUGCUAUUUUUUUUUUUUUGAAGCAAAAGAGUGGUAAAUUAUCAAGAAAAAUGAUCUACACAACACGAAGAUAAUACUUUUGGGCACACUACUCAUAUACAUCCUUUUUUGUCAAAGACAAGGUAUACGUUGAACAGAAAAACCAUGUGAAUCACCUGAUCAACGACUGAAGCUGCAGAUUAUGCUUGUUACAUUCCUUAGUGACUUGAUCAAAUGAAUCACUCUGCAUGUCCAAUUAGACAGCAUUGUUAAUCGUUGCACCAAGUAAGCUAUGGUUAAUCAAAAUUUCUUUGAUACAAAAUGAUCAAAAUCAAUUAACUUUGUGACACAUGUAAUCCAAAUGAAAAAUAAAAACAAUUUAUUUCCACAACAAUCAGAACUCAUCGCCACCGCAAGGACCCAAAAAGGUUACAGCUGGGAUCUUGAAACUAAAACAGUUAUAACAAGUAUUCUUUACAAUCACUUAUAAGUUGAUUAUCUACUAUUAGAUGAGCCAAGCCCUCAAGUAGUUCCUAAUUCUGGCGGCAAAAAGUACAAAUUUAUGAUUCUUCAGUCUCAGCAAGCCUAUAAUCGUACGAUUUUCUGAUAAGAGAGGCUGCCAUGAUAAUUCAAUCUUAAUUCUAUAGAAUGGAAGGGUACUACUGCAUGAAGAUGCCUAAAGUUGAAAACCGAAGCUAAAAUAUUAGCCGGUGAAGAUUUGGUUUAAAAAUCAACAUCUCUAGGCCUCCCUAACAGUUUAAGAGCAUCUUACCACUUUCAAGCACCCAAAUGCCUCGCGCUAACGUACUGAUACAAUCUUAUGGUAAUGGUACUCAUGCAUUCAAUGCUGCGGUAUAAGUAUCUGGUGCCUAAGCAGCACAAACAAAUAUAGAAUCCUCUAAAGGGAAUCGAGGAAACACAAUAUAGCUGACACAAGUUGUAUAGAGUGAUUCUACAGUUUUGGCGAGAAAAAUCAACAAGUGUUUGAUUGAUUAGGUGUGUUUCUCAAGCAUAGGUUGCAUAAUAAUUGAUAAACUUUCUCUUGUAACAUUGUUAAUAUUUAAAAGAAUAUCAAAAGCUGCAGAAGUUUAUGAAGAGCUUACAUCGAACGGUGUGAGCUGUCCAGCUUCGCAGGAGCCUAACUCCUUCAAAAGCUGGGAUGCUCGUCUCCCAUACAUUUUCUCUUCACGCCUGUAACCUUGUAACAACCUGAAGAAUAAAGGAGUAGAGUAGUUAAAGGAGUAGUAGUAAAAAUGUCAACUUUACACAGUAAGAGUAGAGAUAAGGGCAACAGCAGGGUGGAGAGGAGCGAGCUCGGUGUUAUAUCCCGGACUCGCCACAACCGCCGAUGAUGAGAAUUCGCUGAGGAGAGGAUGGCGGCGGGGAUGAUGGUGCUUCACAGAUCGGCCGCAACCCUUUGACCACUACUAGAUUCUGUCGGAGACCUCCUCCCUUGCCCUAAUCUCGCUACCGAACUCCUCUCCACACCGCCUCACCAUUCUUCUCCCUGCUCCUCAUAGGUCCAGCCGUUACACUCGGCGGUGCAGGUGGAACUCCGGCGGGAAGCGACUACGAAAGGGCUCAGGCGCUGACAGAGUAGAAGGUGCAGCAGGUUGCUCCGGCGGGAAGAGCCUUCGAAGGGGUUCAGGCGCUGGCGGAGUAGAACCGGAGGCGACUAGGGUAUAGCCGGAGACGGAGACAGAGAGGAGAGGAGAUAGGGCAGGGCGGAAGAGAGAUCCGACCAAAUCUACAGAUUUUUGGGGGGAAAGUAGUAGGCGGAUCGGGCGUAAUCAGUGGAUACAUAUAUUACCCUAAUUCUGCAUUGGUGAUGCACAUGAUUAAGCUGGUACUCUAUUUUCUUUAUUUGUCGUUCUUUCCUUUUAUUUGGGGGGUAAAAAAAUAUAGAUAUGAACUAUGGACCAUUUUGAAUCUACUACCCAACCUUUUAAAAUUUUGAUUUUACUACUCAAGCUUUCAAUUUGUUUGAUUUGAGUCACUCAACGACACUUUAACUUCAAAAUUUAAACUAAUUUCUUUCUUUAAUAAAUCUAUAAUUGCAAGAAUUGCAUGAAAUAUACUAAUUAAACCUGUAAAAAAUAAUCGACGCACUCAAAUUUUGAAGUAAAAGUGCCGACUCAAAUCAAACAAACUGAAAGGCAGAGUAGUAAAAUCAAAAUUUUAGAAGGUUGGAUAACCACCUCAAAAUGGUCCAUAGUUCAGCCAAGUUUUGUAUGUUUUUACCUUCUUUUUUUUUUUUUUUUUUAAAGAACUGUACUGUUUAAUCCUGAUAUGUAUGCAAUGCAACGAAACAUGCAUUAAUGCUAUAAAAAAUUAACAAUGAUUGCCUCUUUUCUACUCUACUUUAAACAGGAAAAAAAAAUUACUUCUUGGAGAAAUUACUUUAGGGAACAGAUCAAAUUUAAAGGAAAAUUUAUAAAAAAAAUCUAAUACAACUGUAUAAGAAAUGGAUUUAUUCUUCCCAAAGAUAAAAAAUCCACAUAAAAGCAUAAUCUAUCGCACAAAUUUCCUAGAUUUAAACCUUUAAAUCACAUAAAAACCCUAGAUGUAACGAAUCCAAGUGAAAGAUAUCUACAUCUCUCUCUCUCUAAAAUCUCACCUGAAUCGUGAUGUCGCAAUUGAAGAAGACGCGGCUGCGGCGAUCGAGAUGCUCCACCUCCUCCUCUAUGGUCGAGCCACAGUGAUCGGGAACCCCAGUGGGUGAUUUGAGAGAACCGCUCCACUCAUGUAGCCCCCCAAGGGAAUCCGAAUCUGAUUAGGGUUAGGGUUAGCGCCAGAGCGAGAGAGGAGAGAGAGAGAAAGAGGAGCUUCGCGAAACGGGGGAGAUGAUCAAGGCCUUUUCUUCAUUUUAAUUUCUUUCAUAGUUUAAUUGCACUUUAGUCCCUACAUUUUCAACAUUUAUAUUUUGCUCCUUAAUUUUCUUUUAUUUUUAUUUGAGCUAUUUUAAAAGACUAUUUCCCUGAAUAUUUAAAUUUGGAGAUAAAACCUUCUCGACGCCACGUAAGCAUGGUUUACGAAAUUUUUUAAAUAUAAUAAAUUAUUUAUUAAUAUUUUUUUAUAAAAAUUAUAACUGGUUCAUUAAUUCUGUCAUAAUUUCUAACUGACAUAAAAAAAAAAUAUCAAAAAACGGUGAGAACGGUCAAGAAAAAACAUUAAAAAUUUAUUAAUAAAAAGUGAUAAAUAAUUCAUUAUUUUGUUAUAAAAAGUAUUGAUAAAGGAAUAAAUCAUUUACAAUUUUUCAAAAAAAAAAAAAAGUGCCAACAAUCCUUUUCUUUUUUUUUUUCAUUUCUUAUGUAUUCAAUCUAAUACUUACGCGACACUAAUGUGACAAAAAGUAAACUAGUUCUGCAGGGUUAGAUUACUAACUUUAGAAUUUUCAAAGAUUAAUUAUUUUAAUCUAUUUGUCAGAAAUUAAAAAAAGCCACUCUUUUAUGAGCACACUAGCGCUCUCAAUUUUAAUGUUAACCAUUAGGCUUUCUAAAUUUUAUCACAUAAUCAAUUAAAGUGGCUAAUUAUAUAGUCGUUUUUGUCGCACAUCUUUUAUAUAUAUAUAUAUAUAUAUAGAACUAGGCUAAUAUACUAUUAAUAACACUAAGUUAUUGAUGCUACCAAGUUUUUGGCCAUUGGAUUAAGAGAUGUGCGGUUAGGAUGAUGUGGGCCUUCAAGGGUUGAGUGGGUGGUUGGUUGAAUAGUAUGAUCUAACGGAUGAAAAUGAUCAAAAGGAUAGAUCUAACGGCGGAAAACUUGGUAGCACCAAGUGCUUCAUGCUAUUAAUAGCAUAGUAGCCGGACUCUAUAUAUAUAUAUAUAUAUAUAUAUAUAUAUAUUCUUAUAAAAAGUUUUAAAACACUUUUUUUGUUCAUUUUAAUGCAUGAGAAUAGUAAUAAAAAUUGAAGAUAGGUAAUAAAAAUUACUGAUUAGUGAUCUUGAUUAACAAGUGUGACUUGUUAAACUAUCUGAGAAAGGUCUAACUAUCAAAAUUAAAAGUAUGAGAGUCUAUUUAUAAAAAUGCUAUAAACUUUAGAAGGUCUUUGAAUACUUUUUUUUUCUUUUAUUUAAAUAUUUAGAUUCUAAUUUUUAUAGUUUCUUUUUUUUAUAAAAUUUCUGUCAUAGAAAAUAUUCCCUAAAAUCCAAGUGGAAGAGUGAAAGUAGCAUUUUUUUUUUUACUUCUGGGGUAAUUGCACCAUUGGUCCUCAUCUUAACACUUCUUUUAUUUUGCUCCUUACCUUUUUUUAAUUUUCUUUUUUAUAAUAAGAUUCGUUUUUUAAUGGCAUUUUUAAAAAAUUUUGUCAGCAAAAAUUUCUGUUUAAUCAAAGUACAAUUUGAGUUCACAUCAAUAACAAAAUGUGACAAUUUUCGUCCAAUUUUACGACGUAAACCAAAAAAAAAAUCUCAAAAUUGCUUGCGUCUUUCACUGAACAAGCCUGAUUGUAGCAGUUCAUCUUCUUAACUGUGAUCUGAUUCAGCUUCCUCACAAAGCUGCUGUCCUUAUUAGCAGCUUUUGAGGGAAUCAUUAGGGCAGCCAAAUUUAUCUCAACAUAAAAAACAAACAUUUCUGUACAAGUCCACAGCAGUGUCAGCAUUGCAGAAAUUGCCAGCAGAAAACAUUCUUCAUGUCAGUUCCUCUCACAAUAAAAAUCUAUCAUGAUCUUCAUUAUUUCAAGCAAUGUGAACAUGACAGUCUGAGAUGUAUCCAUUUGUGCAGCAGCAAGUUCAGAAAACUGCAGUUUAGUAUAUCCGAAAACAUCAAGAACAGCAAAAAUGAUGAUCUAUCAAAAUGUGAAUUGUAGGAUAAUAAGAUACAUAUACAAAACAUAGACCCAAAAUAUUAUACCAUAAAGCAAUCCAUCUCACGAAAACAUGCGCAUCGUCAGCAAACGAAACCCAAAAUACAAGCACGCAACCGAGUAAUUACUUACAUUAAAAAGACGAAGAAACAAAAGAUCAUAAAACACGUAUCUUGAAGAUGGAUUGCUGCUUCUUAUGCGCAGCAGCGCUUGCGUAUAAGAACUCGCAUUUCCCCGCUAGAUAUUAGCUGAAAGAUGCAUUUAUCUCCCUCCUCCAAGUUAUUCCCCACAGCAAACUCCCUCCACCCUCGAUGAAUCCGGCUCUCGCUUUUCCCAUUCCAUAAUGUCACAGGCCAUGAUCUCUUUUUCGGAUCUUUAAGUACAAUCUCCCUCCUCAGGAGCCCGAACGACGAAUGGAAACUCUUUGGAACACUCUACGUAAUUCAAUCGAGUUUCAGUUAAGCACAUAAGUAAUUGGACUGUAAUCGUUACGAACUGUUCUGUUAAGAACGUAGCGAACUAACCAGGAACAAGCGACGACGAACGUUUCCGCUGACGUUGCAAGAUCUCAUUAUCUUCUCAAAAUGCGGUGGACACGGCGCGGAGUUUUCGUUCUCAACCGAUUUCUUCUUUGCUGAAAAACCCGGCGGAGUGCGCGGCUCUUCGGUACCGUGCUGAUCAUCUGAAUGACACUUACAUGCAAAGUAAAUAUCGUCACAUGAGAAGAUUUGGCAAUUACUCGAAAUACUCACAACUACGAAUGUCAUCGCGGUUUUCAUCUUUGGUUUCACCCGAACUUCUCUUCGAAACUCCGUGGACGAUCUUACCGCGCAGCUUACAGCAUCCGCUCGUGUUGAACACUUUGGCCUUGAAGACCAUGUUUCCUUCGUAGCGAAACAGAACGAAAUCGCCUGCGACUAAUUCGUGGGCCUGCGAGAACUCACGCCAGCCAUUGUCGAAGUACAGUCUGUUAUCUCCAUCUCUGACGAGAGUUACGUGCCAAAACUUGCCGAGGGGGCUAAACAAGGUUGCAGUUGCACUACGCUCUUUCGUGAGAAGCUCGGCAAUCGGACGAGGAAUGGGCUGCAAUAAAAUAUCAAAUGUGAAUCACUCCUAUUUCUUCUCAAGAAAGUUAACAAACUGCGCAUAAUAGUACCGUCCUGUCGUUUAUUCGCAAGUCCGAUUCGCGUUAAAAGCUUGAUUCGAUGUCUAAACAUCUUGUUCGUAAUACAUUCUCUUCGUUACGUUAUCUUGAAAAACAUGACUACAAUCACAAAAGAAAAUCGUCCUAAUGUGCAAGUUAUCACUUCAGAAGUUAUCGUAACAUCAGAAUAGAAGCUAAAAUCGACCACAUAUCGAAGGCGCAUUAAUACUCGACUAAUUGGUGAACUUUAGGGAUGCUUUUACUUUUACUUUUGGUUCUUUUGAUUCGAGUUAUUUUGAUUAGUCAAAUUGCGAGGUUUGGAAUUUAAUUGCUGUAAUGGCUUUUUAGCUUAUUGAACUGCAACUUUUUUGACUGUCCAAAAUUUGAUAGCCUAUAGUUGAGGGGUCUAUUUCAAAAUAACCUAUAGUUGAGGGGUUCCCCAUUACAUUUUGACAAUUCCUUUUUUUGGCUAUAUUACAAAAAACCCCUCACACUUUGCUCUGUGUCCUACUACAGGACUACACCACUGCCUCAAAUUUGUCAAAUUAUGAGAUGAUUAUUGGAAAAUCUCCUCUACUAGAGCCACCAAAAUUGACAAUUUAUUGAACAAUUUUGGUAAUAAUGUAUGGGUACUCCCUCAACUAUAGGACAUUCUGAAAUAGACCCCUUAACUUUUUUUUAAAUUUAUAUUUACACUCCUUUAACUUCUAAGUUUUUGUAUUUGAGUUUUUACAGUUAAUCAAAAUUCUAUGGAUUUAUUAGCUAUUAACAGUGAAUUAAUCAAGCUUUAUUCGCUGCAAAGUAACUUGAACUAUAGAAUGUGAUGAACUUAUUAUCAAUCAAUUUGGUAAAAUUCCGCAUUUAUUCUGCUAAAGUCGCUCAAUUCCAUACAAUUUACCAACAAUUUUUACCAACUUUAUCCACCAACCUAUUUAUCAAAAUAUUUGCAUCUGAAUUCAGCAAUCAUUUCAAAUUCUCGAACGUACUCGAGAUACAAUAAAGUGAAUCAGCGACGUGGUUCUUUAUUAGUAAUUUACCUUCUUAUUUUCAACCCUAAAUAUAUGGAAAUCUGUUCCAUGGGAAACACACUGUCCAAUAAUCUCCGUUUUUCCCAACCACAAAACUUUUCCAUGAAUUCUAAAAAAGAAAAAAAUCAGAAAACUGUCUCUAAAGCUAAGGGACUAUUUGGUUUCUCGAAAAAAGACCUUUCCAUGAAAAACAUGUCUUUCAGUUUUCUGCCCAUUUCAUUUGAAAAAAAAAAAAAAAAAAAUUAAAACUAGCUUUUCUGGAUUUUUUUUUUCCAAAUUUCUUGAAAAACUACUGUGCCGUUUUUCGGGAAACAAAAAAUCAGAAAAAUAAAAACACUGGUUUUCCAUAAAAUAUGAAUUUUUUUAAAAAAAAAAAACUAGUUUUUCUCGGAACCAAAAGGCCGGAAAUUUAGAAAAGAAUUUUUUUCUCAAUAUUUUUUUUUUCAUACUUUUUCGAGGAACCAAACAUCCCGUAAACAGACGACGAAAAAAUACUUUUCCAGUCAGAAAACUAAGGGAUCCAAAACACCCUACUUUUUCCCUUCAAAAGAGUUAGGAAUUACAAGCACAUCUCUUCUAGCUCCCAAAUGAUUCAUACCAUUUUUCUUUUCUUUCAUAUUACAGCAUCCACACUUCCAAGAACUUGAAAAGAAAGCUAAUGAAACUAACAAUUCAGUGCACAACUAAGAAAACAAGCCCCAACUCAUUAGAAACAUUAGAUUUAUAUGGAUUGAGUAGUAGUAGUAGAAGUAGAAGUAGAAGAAGAAGAAGUAUAUAUAAAUAGAUAUAUAUAGAUAAAUAUAUAUAUACCAGCUUUUGGAGAAACUCAGGUGGGAGCAGCAGGACAAACUGAGGCCUGUGAUUCUGAGAGCCCAUUUCUGCAUGACUGCAUGAAGCUUCCACCCUGUGAAUGGCUCUUUGGCUUCUAAGGGAAGUGCUUUUUUCCAAUAGAAAGAGGAAGAGAGGGCUCAAAACUCCAAAAGGAGUGGGUUCAUGUACUCUACUCCCCCCCAAAGGUUGCUUCUCGGAGGUUAGAAAUUUUUUUUUGGCUUUUUUUUUAUUUUUUAUUUUUUAACUUUUAGCUUUUUCAGAAUUUUUAUUUUCAUAAAUUACCCCACAAAAUUUAUAUAUAUAAAAGAUUUACACAACUCCCUCCACACAAAUGCCACGCUCGUUAAUAAGUAAACACACUGAAUGAUUCACCGUCUGCCUUUCAUGUUUUACUUAAAUCGUGUCUUUUCUACAUUUACCGUGUUUAUUAUAUUAAACGUUGUAUAAGUUAAGUCACAGUAAAUUAUUUGCCGUGUUUGGACACCUUAAAUGUUUUAUUAUGUUCAACUUAAUUUUUUUAUACUCACGUGGCACUUGCAUGAUGGUGAUAGGGUCAAUUUUGUAAAUAUAAAUUUUGUGGGACUAUCUGUAAUUUUUUUUUGAGGGGGCUAAAUAAAAAAAGCUCUUUUUUUUUUCUAAAAAUAGGCAUAGAAUGGAUAAACUUCAAAUACCACCCUUGUGGUUUCGCACUUUUUUCACUUUAGUAUCUUAUAAUUUAAAGUGUAUCAUUUUAAUUAUUAUCAUUUUUCUCUUUCUGUCGGUGCCUCCAUUAACUCUCCGUUAAAUUAUGUACGAAGACCUCCGUGCUCCUAAUAGCACACAAGACCUACUAUAUAUAUAUAUAUAUGGGUUAUUUGCAUACACGUCCCUGCAAACAUAGUGAAUUGCAGAAAUAUCCCUGCAAAACGAAAAUUUCAUAAGUUGUCCCUGCAAAAGUCCUAAGUUAUGCAGAUAUGUCCCUCUAGUUGAAAUCUAUUAGAAAAUUGUUAAUUUUUUAACAAUUUUCUUGUGAAAUGACUUUUUUAUCCUCACAAAUAUAUCCCUCCAAAAUAUUUCUCUUUCCCUUCCCUUUCUCUCCCUCUUUGGGCCACCGGAGUGGACGGCGGCGGCGGCGGCGCGGGGUUGGGUUCGCCGGUGACGAAGAAGAGGGAAGAGAAAGAAGGAGAGGAAGAAAGAGAAGAAGAGGGAAGAGGAAGAGAAAGAGGGAGAGGGUUUGCUUUCACCGCCGCCGCCGCAUCUUUUCCUUCGUCGGUGACGAAGAAGAGGGAAGAAGAAGAGGGAGAGGAAGAAAAAAUGCGAAGAGGAAGAGGGAAGAGGGAGAGGGUUCGUCGCCGCUGUCACUACAUCUUCUCCCUCGCCGGCGACGAAGAAAAGGGAAGAGGAAGAAGGAGAGGAAGAAGAAGGGGGAAGAGGAAGAGGGAGAGGAAGAGAGAAGAGGAAGAGGAAGAGGAGGAGGAGGUUCGCCGCGCUGUCGCCGCGCUGUGCCGUGCCCGUCGCCAUCGCCGCUGCUGCCGUACGAGGAAGAAGAUAAAGAGGAAGAGGAGAAAAAGGAAGAAGGGUAAACUAUCAAUUUACGUUAUUAAUUAACCAUGGUUAAAUUUUUAACUCGUGUGUUAACGAAAUUUUUUAACAGACCUUAAACAGUAGGACAUUAUCUACAUAACUAAAGACUUUUGCAGGGACAACUUAUGAAAUUUUCGUUUCGCCAGGAAUAUUUCUGCAAUCACUAUGUUUUGAAGGACGUGUAUGCAAUAACCCAUAUAUAUAUAUUAUAUAUAUUAAUAUAUAUAUAUAUAUGAAUUGGCUGGAAUAGCUAUUAAUAGUAAAACGCUCUUUUACUAUCAAUUUUUUAACCUUGGAUGAAAAAUUAUAGGGUCAGGAUGAUAUUAGUCGGUUAGAGUUGAGUCCUCAUAGGGUUGAGUGGUCCCCUGGAUUAUAAUAUUUAAUCCAAUGGUUAGAAAUAAUGAAAAGAGUUGAUCCAAAGGCUAAAAAAACUGGUAGCAAUAAUAAAAUUUUGUACUAAUAGUAGCCCAGUCAACUCUAUUAUAUAUAUAUAUAUUAAAGAUAUAUAGUAUUAAAUUCUAAAAAUUGUUUAAGUAUCUUAUUUUAAAAAAAGCGGUGAAAAAUUUACCAUAUUUAAAAAGCAAUAAUUCGUUUGCCGCAUAAGCUUAAUUUAUAAAUAAAAAAUUUUUUAAAAAUAGUUUAAUAAUUAUAAUUUUUUAAGUCGAUUAAUUAACAAAAUUUCACUUCGGAAAUAAAUGGGAAUUGAGUAUGAUCUGUUUGUUUGAGAAGGUGGAGUUCAGAUUAGAUAUUUGAAAAAACUAUAGCUCAAAUAAAGAUUUUUUUGUUUUUAUUUGUUUGAAUAGUUAUGGAACUGAAAUUUUCCAGUUUUAUUGUUUAUUUAGCAAAAAAUAAAUAACGUACAAAAUUAGAGAUGUAAAAAAUGCAUAAUAUUUUUUACAUUUUUUUUCAUAAUUGGCUUCGGCCUGGAAUGGGAAGAAGUCAAAUUACACUAUGGGCAUGCAGGAAUCGAACAUCCAUAAUUCACUCUAAUAAGCGUAUAGACACAACAUUCAUGGGUCUCGAUUGUAACUUGACCCAACCAGAUCUCCUGUCAUCUCGAACGUAACUCUGCCCAACUUGGCCUCCCACCAUAGGGAGGAAUGGGCAUGCAGGAAUCGAACUCAUGACUUCUAGCUUUGAUACCACUUGUUGAAUCGUUGACGCUAACCGUUAAUCCCAAAAACUUAAGCUGCACUUUAAGCGUAUAGAUACAACAUCCAUGGGUCUCGAUUGUAACUUGACCGAACCAGAUCUCCUGUCAUCUCGAACGUAACUCUGCCCAACUUGGCCUCCCACCAUAGGGAGGAAUGGCCAUGCAGGAAUCGAACCCAUGACUUCUAGCUUUGAUACCACUUGGUGAAUCGUUGACGCUAAUCAUUAAUCCCAAAAACUUUAAGCUGUUUAGAAAUACGCAACCAAUUCACUUAAAGCAUAUAGGCACAGCGCCCACGGGUCUCCAUUGUGACUCGGCCCAAUCAGCCUCGCGCUACUUCGAACAUGACUCAACCCAAUCUGACCUCUCGCCAGUUCAAAGGUGAUUCGGCCCAACUUGGCCUCCCACCACAAGUUAGGAUGUUGACACAUUUAAGCCAACACAAUAUCUCAGUAAGUUACUUAGUUGUAUCAUAUAAUUUUAGUAUAUAAUAAUAAUGAUGGAAUAGUAAAGGUGCUAGAUUAAGUGCUAUAAUUUUAAACUUUAAAAAGAUAAAAUAGAGAUUUUUAAAUGAACAAGGGAGGGGUUUUAUGCAUUUUACCCAUUAAAUUUUUAAGAAGACAAAAUAUAAAUUUUUGAGCAUUUAAUCUCUAAUUCAUCCAAACACUACAAUAGGGAGUGAGUUUAUUUAAUCCCCCUCUUAACGGGUUAUUCUAGAAUAACCUGUUAAGAGGGGGAUUUGUUGUUCCACCCUUUUGGUGGAAUAACAAAUUUUUUUCUUUAUACCUCUACUAGUUUAAUAAUAAAAUAUUAUUAAUUAAUAUAUUAUAUAUAUCAUUUUAUUAACUAAUUAGCUAAAUUAAAAAUUAACUAAUUUAAUAAUAAAAUAUUAGCUAAAUUAAUAAUUAUUUAUUAGUGUGUUUAUGCAAUAACUAAUAUCUUUAUUGAUUAAUAAAUUAAUAUUUUUACCAACAUAACUAAUUAAUUAAUUAAUUAAUAACUAAUAUAUUUAUUUAUUAGCCUAAUUUGUAACUUAUUAAAUUAUUUAUAGUUAGAUAAUUUAUUAAUUAAGAGUACUCAUGGUUAAUUGAUUAAUGAUUAAUUAAUCUGGUAAUUAAUGUAUUAAUUAACAUUUAUGAUUAUCUAAUAAUAUUCAUGAUAAAUUAAUUUUUUUAAAUUAUAAAUUUGAGAUUUUAAAAUUUUAAAAUUUAAUUUUGAUUUUUAAAAUUUAAAAGUUUAUAUUUAAAUUUAAAAAUAUAAAUAUAAAAUAUAAAAAUUCUAAUUCUAAUAUAAAGAAAAGAAUAAUAUUAUUAUUUUUUAUUUAUCUACCCACUUUAAUUCUUAUUCCAUCUUACCUAACCAAACGUUAUUUUUCUUAUUUUCAGGAAUAACCUAAUUUUCAUUCAAACGCAAAAUUGAUCUAAUCCCCGCGUAUACCUUAAUUUAUACCUAUCUCCCGCGUAUACCUUAAUUUAUACCUAUCUCCAGAAUACCCACUUUUUGCUUAUUCUCGAACCAAACGAUACCUAAGCUAAUAGAAAAAAGAUUUUUAAGAUUUUGUAUUCAACACUGCUUAGCUUAGGUGGGAAUUUUGGUCUAAGACAUGUAACUUCGAAUUAAAUUGGCGAUAUUUGAGUAAAACUUCGAGCUUAAAAACUCCUGCUCUGGUACUCACAAAAUAAUCGUGUUUCUGAAAGCUUAAGCUAAGAAAAAAAUUUUUAAUCAUUUAUAUUUAACACUAUCUAUUAAUUCUCUAAGAAUUAGCUUAUAUUAAUAUAUCCAAUAAUUUCUUUAUGGCUCAGAUUUCGAGGUCCAAAAAAAAAAAAUAUAUAUAAUAUAUAUAUAUAAUAUAUAUAUAUAUAUAUAUAUUUGGAUUGCUGUUGCUGAAACUUAUCUGAUGGCAUAUGGCAGACCUCUGUUGCAUUUUGUUACGCAUGAGGGACAUGUCAAUGAUAAAUUCAUACAAACUACUAGAUCAAAUCACAAUCAUUGUUUUAAGCUCUAACGAAAACUCGAUUCUUUAAUUCUCCCGUGCGACGAAUCAAAGCAAUACCAAAACCAUAAAGCAUUAAUCCAUCUAAUGAAAAACUCGUAAUCGUCGACAGUUUAAGAUAGUUCCAUCCAGCAUGUAGGCCAAGAUUACAAACUAUGACUAGAACAUGAAACGAAGGAUCGAACACAGAACUCGAAGAUAAGCUGCAGAUCGAACACAGAACUCGAAGAUAAGCUGCAGUUACGCACGGCGUUUUGUAUCAGAACUCGCAGUAUUCCGUCAAGACGAGCUGAAAGGUGCACUUAUCUCCCUCUUCUAACUUAUUCACUGCAGAAAACUCCUUCCACCCCGACAGCAAUCGGCUGUCGCUUACGCCGUGCCACAACUUCACAUGCCAUGAUCUCCUCUUCGGAUCUUCGAGCACCAUCUCCUCCUUCCUCGUGAGUCUGUUCGAACGCGCAAAACUUCCUCGGCACGCUCUACAUCAAGUAGUUCUGCACCAUUUAAGCAUAAACACUCGAUGAAUCGAAAUUAAACUAGCUCGACUUUACGAACUGACCAUGUGACCGCAGGAGAAGUUGUAAGGUCUAAUGAUCUUCUCAAAAUGAGGUACGGUUCUCGCACGGUUGUUCUUCGUCGCUGAUUUAUCCGUCGCCAGAAAACCUGGCGGAGUCUGCAGCUGUUCUUUCGGUGCUGUCGGUUUCCCUCUCUUUCUGCGACCUGUCGAGAGAUUCUGCCAAUCAUCUGAGUUACACAUACCUGCUGAUAUGAGAAGAUUAAGUAACUGCUCAGAACAAAAUGAAACCAGCAAUUAGUCCUCACCGUCGCAAACAUCUUCGAGGAUCUCAUCUUUUGCGCCGAAUGAUCUUUUUUCUGAGAUUGCUCUAUCAUACUGUUUGCGACAUCCAGUUACGUCGAACACCUUGACCUUGAAGACCAUGUUUCCCUCGUAGCGAAACAAGAGGAAGUCGCCCGCGGUAAAAUCGUGGGCUCGCGAGAACUCUCGCCAACCGUUGCUGAAGUGCGUAUUGUCAUCUGCAUCUUUCUCUAGGGCAAUGUGCCAAAAUUUGCCGAGAGGGCUGAACAGAGUUGCAGUUCCAUUGUGCUGAUGCAUGAGGAGCUGCGCAAUUGCAUCAGGAAUCGGCUGCAGUAAGAUGAAUAGGGUGAUUCAGUUUACUAACUUUUCGACACAUAAUUCGAAUACUGGUUUUACGCGAAAAUUAACUCUCUGAUUUGAAUUGAUCAUUCAUAUACUUCUGCUGCUUUCAUUUGCAUGAAAAUCUGCAUGCAGAUGAUCACAGAUCGAAGUCUGUAAAAGUUCGAGAUUAAAGGCCUGAAAUUCUGAGCAUGAAAUUUUCAGAUCUGAUGUACAGACUGCGAAUAAUUUUAUGUUAAAAUCAUAUUCUGAAGCUACCAAUACAUUGAUCAGAUAUGAAAUAACUGUCCCUUGAAAUCCUUUGUGAAAAUUUCUUAUGUGAUUAGAAACAAGGAGUUUGAUGUUUAGUCGAUUUGUUUUUUUUUUAAAAAAAUGAACUCAGUUAGGAAUGUAAAGCAACUAGAAUUCGAAUUUGAGACCUCAGGUACCAACCAGUAACCCUUAGUCAACUGUGUUAGGUACGGUCGAUUGCUCCUUAAAAAGUCUUGGUUUAUUUCCAUAAUUUGGCAUAAUAGUAUAUUUUAAGUAAUUUAUUUUAUUCUCGAAAAAUUUUACUUGAAAAUUAGAUAUACUAUUUUAUUCUAAACAUUUAAUCACACUCCUGACUACAAAAUACUGAAAACUUCUUAAGUAAACUAAAGAAAUUUUCUGAACAAGAUAUUCAUGCAACGCCAAUCGUUUUAGUGCAAGUGGUAAAGUGUUUGAUGGUUAAUACUCGAGGCUCCAAGUUUGAAAUCUAGUUGCUUUACAUUUCCAGCUAAAUUUAUUUCUAAAAAAAUGAAUGAAGCGGAAGCCUACUACAUUUCUCUCUCUCCAAAAAAAAAAAAUUCAUACAUCCAAACCAGAUUUACACAUACAUGGUUUCAUAAAUAAACUAUUCAGAGGUUAAUAGUUUAUAGAACACAUUGUACAAAAACCCACCUCACUUCCCCUUCUCAAUUUCCUAAGCCAUUUUAAGCCAAAAGCAAUUUCCAGAAGCUGGAAAAUUACUAUAAAAGGAGGAGCACUACUUUAAGCUAAGAAAAAAAAAUAAUCACAAUUAUGGUGAUAAUUUCAGAGUAUCAGUGAUACAUGAUGAAUGAGGUAUACAUAUUAAAGAGUAAUCACUAACUAGUAAGAGAAAAAAUAAGAAGAAAAAAGAAAUAUGUAUUAAUUACAGUACCAGCUUUUCCAAGAACUCUGGUAGAAGCACUUUCACAAACUGUGGCUUAUUAUGGGACCCCAUGAUACUGAACUCCACUUGUUAAUUGUGUGUGGGCACUGGGGAUAUAUAUAUUUUGCACAUCACAAAGAAGUGUUUUUUUUUUUUUUUUUUUUUUUUUUUUUUUUUUUGGUGUGUGUGUGAAAACAAAUGAGUUGGAAUAUGGGUGCAGUAAAAGGCUUGUUUCACAUGUGAAAGGUUGUUUUUAUCUAAUUAUUGUCCUUUUGCUGCUGCAGGAAACUGUGUGACACUUGCUUUACUAGAUGCUUGCUAUUAAUAUAUAAGAUAAACUUCAAAUAUCCCCACUAUGGUUUCACAUUUUUUGACUUUUAGUACUCUAUAGUUUAAAGUAUAUCAGGUUAGCCUCUGUGGUUUCGUACUUUCUCACUUUAGUACCCAUUAGUUUAAAGUGUAUCAAGUUAGUACCUUGUGGUUUCAUUUUUCUCUUUUUAUUAUCCAUUUCACUAAUUUAUGUCGUUAAAUUAGUGACAAAGUUAAAAUUAAAGGGUACUAAAGUGAAUAUUCGAUAAAUCUAGGUAGAGUAUCUGAAGUUUUUUUUGUAUAUAAUUUAACGAAAUAUUAACGAAGUAAAAAAAAAAUCAGUGACAAAGUUAAAACUAAAGGGUAUUAAAGUAAAUAUUUGGUAAACCUGGGUAGGGUAUUUGAAGUUUUUUGUAUAUAAUUUAACGAAAUAUUAACAGAGGAGCCAACAAAAAGAGAACUUAAACCACAGGGUACUAAAUUGAUGCACUUUAAACCACAAGGUAUUAAAUUAAUUUUAAAUAUAAAUAUUAAAUUAAAAUAAAGUCUGAAUCUGUAUUUUGAAUUUAACUGGUUAUUGGUGGCAUAGUUUAUUUUUAAUUGAUUUAUUUUUUAAAUUUAAGGGCUUUUUUUGCAUUUAGACCCCUGACAAAUUUUUAUUUCAAAAAUAGUCCUGUCAAAAUUUAAUUUGCAAAAAUGGCCCUCGGCCUGCCACGCAGGCGCCACGUCAACGCCACGCGGGCAGGGCUGGGCCCGUGUGUUAAGUUGAACACGGUGAACCAUUCACCGUGUUCAAACACGGUGAAUGGUUCAUCGUGUUUAGUACGUAUUUUUUGUUACCUAUUUUUUGUAUAUUGAAAAGUGGAAUAAGGAGUAGGGAUGUCAAUAGAUAUGGAUAUCCGAAAUAUUACCCGAAUUCAAACCCGAAUAAAUUAUAUAUAUACAUAUAUACAUAAUUUAUUUUUAUUUAUUUAUACAAUAUAUAAAAUAUUUAAUAAUUUUAUUUCUUAGAUCUUCAUCCAAUCCAGCGGGUUUUAAAAAUCUAUACCGUUGGAUAAAGAUCUAAGGAAUAAAAAUUAUUAAAUAUUUUAUAUAUUGUAUAAAUAAACAAAAAUAAAUUAUAUAUAUAUAUAUAUAAUUUAUUCGGGUUUGGAUUCGGAUAAUAUUUCGAAUAUCCAUAUCUAUUGACAUCCCUAUUCCUUAUUCCACUUUUCAAUAUACAAAAAAUACGUAAGAAAUACGGUGAACCAUUCACCGUGUUUAGACACGGUGAAUGAUUCACCGUGUUCAACUUAAUACCCUGGCCCCAGCCCUGCCCGCGUGGCGCUGACGUGGCGCCUGCGUGGCAGGGACAGGGCCAUUUUUACAAUUUUAAUUUUGAUAGGGCUAUUUUUAAAAUAAAAAUUGCUCAGGGGGCUAUUUGCAAAAAACCCCUAAAUUUAAUUUGUUUCUAAUCCAAUUUAGUUAUGCUAUAAAUAUUUUUUAUAUGUGUUCCAUAAUAUACAAUUUUUAACGUAUAUCCAAAAUUUAAAAAUUAAUUUGAUUUUAAAAUUUAAAUUAAAUUUGAAUUUAGAUUUACAUAUUUGAAUCAAACUCAAAAUCUAAAGUUAAUUUUGAAUUCAUUAUUUAAAUUUAAAUUAUUGCUUUUUUGGUAGGUAUUUUUAAACCGUUCAUUUUUUUAAACAUGACUUAUUUUUAGUUAGUUAAUUAUAUAAUUUUUUUAUAAUGUAUAUAAAAUAUUACUUUAUUUCAUCUAAGAUUCCGUUUGUCAAUAAAAAAUUUUCUUUCUACCUUUUAUAUAUAGUAUAAAUAUGUCACGCCCCGGAUUACUCUUUUUUCCGGGCACGCUAACAGACCCGCCAUAUAUAUAGAAAUUUUUUCUGUAUACGAAGCAAAGCUGUAUCUGUAUCUGUAAACAGACAACACUACAACCAGUAGUAUAGAGCUGCUGAAAUAAAACAUAAAUAAGCAACUGAGAUUCACUAUACAUAUAUAACCUCCCAGUGUACAAAAGAUCACUCGCUCCAGUGAGAUACAACAGCAGUAUGUAUAAUAACCCAAAAACUACAACUACUUUUA